Molecule: non-coding RNA, 489 nt
Organism: Passer domesticus (house sparrow)
Lineage: Eukaryota; Metazoa; Chordata; Aves; Passeriformes; Passeridae
Source: the annotation of a RefSeq genome assembly
AUGAACCAUAUCAGGGUGUGGCUGGUGCUGGGCGUGGUCAGAUCCAGGGAGAGGCUCCGGGCGGCCGUGACCCUGCUGGAGUCCGGGGGGGACCUCCAGCCCCCCGGGGGGUCCCUGCGCCUCCUCUGCCGAGGCUCUGGGUUCAAUUUCGGGAGCUACAACAUGUGCUGGAUGCGCCAGAGACCUGGGCAGGGGCUGGAGUGGAUCGCGGGGAUCUACAGCAGUGGUGGCAGCACCUUCUACGCGCCCUCGGUCAAGGGCCGGUUCACGAUCUCCAGGGACAACGGGCAGAGCUCGGUGACGCUGACCAUGAACAACCUCAAGGACGAGGAUUCCGGAUCCUAUUUCUGUGCCAGGACCUGUUCUAAUAGUGCUGGUGCUAAUGAUGCCUGUGGCUUUGGCUCCAAGCCCAGUGCCGAGUCCCCCCCGUCCCCAGAGCCCAGACCCUUCCCCCAGACCCCAGCCCCAGACCCAGCUCUUGACCAUUGA